Molecule: ribosomal RNA, 448 nt
Filed under: uncultured bacterium
Lineage: Bacteria
Description: bacterial SSU rRNA
Rfam family: Bacterial small subunit ribosomal RNA
Source: RNAcentral
UGGGGAAUCUUGCGCAAUGGGCGAAAGCCUGACGCAGCCAUGCCGCGUGUAUGAUGAAGGUCUUAGGAUUGUAAAAAUACUUUCACCGGUGAAGAUAAUGACUGUAGCCGGAGAAGAAGCCCCGGCUAACUUCGUGCCAGCAGCCGCGGUAAUACGAAGGGGGCUAGCGUUGCUCGGAAUUACUGGGCGUAAAGGGAGCGUAGGCGGACAUUUAAGUCAGAGGUGAAAUCCCGGAGCUUAACUUCGGAACUGCCUUUGAUACUGGGUGUCUUGAGUGUGAGAGAGGUAUGUGGAACUCCGAGUGUAGAGGUGAAAUUCGUAGAUAUUCGGAAGAACACCAGUGGCGAAGGCGACAUACUGGCUCAUUACUGACGCCGAGGCUCGAAAGCGUGGGGAGCAAACAGGAUUAGAUACCCCCGUAGUCCCUGAGCGGGCUGGCAAGGCGCAU